AUUGAACGCUGGCGGCAUGCCUUACACAUGCAAGUCGAACGGCAGCACGGGGGCAACCCUGGUGGCGAGUGGCGAACGGGUGAGUAAUAUAUCGGAACGUGCCCUAGAGUGGGGGAUAACGUAGCGAAAGUUACGCUAAUACCGCAUACGAUCUACGGAUGAAAGUGGGGGAUCGCAAGACCUCAUGCUCAUGGAGCGGCCGAUAUCUGAUUAGCUAGUGGUAGGGUAAAGCCUACCAAGGCAUCGAUCAGUAGCUGGUCUGAGAGGACGACCAGCCACACUGGAACUGAGACACGGUCCAGACUCCUACGGGAGGCAGCAGUGGGGAAUUUUGGACAAUGGGGGCAACCCUGAUCCAGCAAUGCCGCGUGAGU
Molecule: ribosomal RNA, 374 nt
Filed under: uncultured bacterium
Lineage: Bacteria
Description: bacterial SSU rRNA
Rfam family: Bacterial small subunit ribosomal RNA
Source: RNAcentral